CUACGGGCCGCAGCAGUGGGGAAUAUUGCACAAUGGGCGCAAGCCUGAUGCAGCCAUGCCGCGUGUAUGAAGAAGGCCUUCGGGUUGUAAAGUACUUUCAGCGGGGAGGAAGGGAGUAAAGUUAAUACCUUUGCUCAUUGACGUUACCCGCAGAAGAAGCACCGGCUAACUCCGUGCCAGCAGCCGCGGUAAUACGGAGGGUGCAAGCGUUAAUCGGAAUUACUGGGCGUAAAGCGCACGCAGGCGGUUUGUUAAGUCAGAUGUGAAAUCCCCGGGCUCAACCUGGGAACUGCAUCUGAUACUGGCAAGCUUGAGUCUCGUAGAGGGGGGUAGAAUUCUAGGUGUAGCGGUGAAAUGCGUAGAGAUCUGGAGGAAUACCGGUGGCGAAGGCGGCCCCCUGGACGAAGACUGACGCUCAGGUGCGAAAGCGUGGGGAGCAAACAGGAUUAGAUACCCUAGUAGUC
RNAcentral lists this ribosomal RNA (464 nucleotides) under uncultured bacterium. RNAcentral's name for it is "partial 16S ribosomal RNA". It matches the Rfam family "Bacterial small subunit ribosomal RNA", at positions 339 to 795 of the family's 1533-position model. The record is from RNAcentral.